RNAcentral lists this ribosomal RNA (429 nucleotides) under Pseudomonadota bacterium. Its description in RNAcentral is "Proteobacteria bacterium partial 16S ribosomal RNA". It matches the Rfam family "Bacterial small subunit ribosomal RNA", at positions 355 to 776 of the family's 1533-position model. Lineage: Bacteria; Pseudomonadati; Pseudomonadota. The record is from RNAcentral.
UGGGGAAUAUUGGACAAUGGGCGAAAGCCUGAUCCAGCCAUGCCGCGUGUGUGAAGAAGGUCUUCGGAUUGUAAAGCACUUUAAGUUGGGAGGAAGGGCAGUAAGCGAAUACCUUGCUGUUUUGACGUUACCGACAGAAUAAGCACCGGCUAACUCUGUGCCAGCAGCCGCGGUAAUACAGAGGGUGCAAGCGUUAAUCGGAAUUACUGGGCGUAAAGCGCGCGUAGGUGGUUAGUUAAGUUGAAUGUGAAAGCCCCGGGCUCAACCUGGGAACUGCAUCCAAAACUGGCGAGCUAGAGUAGGGCAGAGGGUGGUGGAAUUUCCUGUGUAGCGGUGAAAUGCGUAGAUAUAGGAAGGAACACCAGUGGCGAAGGCGACCACCUGGGCUCAUACUGACACUGAGGUGCGAAAGCGUGGGGAGCAAACAGG